RNAcentral lists this long non-coding RNA (528 nucleotides) under Helianthus annuus (common sunflower). Lineage: Eukaryota; Viridiplantae; Streptophyta; Magnoliopsida; Asterales; Asteraceae. The record is from RNAcentral.
AUAUAUACUCCGAUUUCUGAACCAUUGUCGUGCAAUCAUCUUCCUAAGCUGAAUUUCCUAUUUCAUAUAGUCUGUUUCUAAGCUCAAAGCACACUUACAUGAGAAGUCAUUUGUUAUUGAGAAACAGGAUAUGAGUGGCUCAUAAUAGUAUGAAGAAAAUUGCACCUGCACUUGCAGCCAAACAUGAUGUUGCAGUGGCUGGAACAAAUAUUGGGGAGCCUGAGAGGAAGUGAUUUCUACUAUCUCUAAUUCUUAUAUUGAUAUGGAUCAGAGCAAGCACAUUUUUACUAUUUAAAAUAUGGUAUGGUCAUUGUUAUAUUCCAAUAUGCUAUGUUUGGAGAUGCUAUGAGAAAGGGAAAGGGAAUCUCUGGCGGUCAAAAAGAAAAGAUGGUAACUUCUGCAAUUUAUGCUUAUUCGACCUGGUCAAUACAUCAGCCCUAUUUGGAUGCAAGUAUGGUUGUUUGCAGGGGAGAUGAUUCUUGGUCCAACAAAAGUGUAGUGAUGCUAAUUCUUAGUGGCGCUAUUAAU